RNAcentral lists this ribosomal RNA (494 nucleotides) under uncultured bacterium. Its description in RNAcentral is "partial 16S ribosomal RNA". It matches the Rfam family "Bacterial small subunit ribosomal RNA", at positions 28 to 507 of the family's 1533-position model. The record is from RNAcentral.
GACGAACGCUGGCGGCGUGCUUAACACAUGCAAGUCGAACGGUGAAGCGCCUUCCUUUUUGGUGGGUGUGGAUGAGUGGCGAACGGGUGAGUAACACGUGAGUAACCUGCCCCCUUCUUCUGGAUAACCGCAUGAAAGUGUGGCUAAUACGGGAUAUUCUGGGUCUGUCGCAUGAUGGGUCUGGGAAAGAUAUUGUUUCGGUGGGGGAUGGGCUCGCGGCCUAUCAGCUUGUUGGUGGGGUGAUGGCCUACCAAGGCGGUGACGGGUAGCCGGCCUGAGAGGGUGGACGGUCACGAUGGCAGUGAGAGAAGGACCAGACUGAUACGGGAGGCAGCCGCGGAGACUAUUGCACAAUGGGCGGAGGCAUGGUACAGCGACGCCGCGUGAGAGAUGGACGCCUUCGGGUUGGUACCCUCUUUCGCGAGUAAAGCAGGCUUGCGUGGUGUGUGGGGGGAUUGACGGUAGCGGGAUAAGAAGCGCCGGCUAACUACGUG